UAUUUUCUAGAUGAUCCCUGUUAUUUUCUAUCUCAUCCCUAAUAUUUUCUAGCUUAUUCCCAGGGUAUUGUAUUAAACAAAAUUGUUAUCGGACCCAUGUCCGGCUUUCUCUCAGCUAUCAUUUUCAUCAUCACCACCACCAUCACCAUCAUCGUCAUUGUCAUCGCUUUUGUCAUCAAGUAGGACAUUUUCAAACCCAAACCAAAGCAACCCUGAAGCAACUGGCGUCUGUGGUGUAGCGGUCAGGUGUUUCACCAUUGCAUGUAGGAGACGCAAGUUCAAUUCCCGAGUGGGGAGAAGAUUCCAGAGGUCAGAGCUGCUGUAUAGUAGGAUGUUAAUCGUCUCUUGACUUGAGACGUUGAAAUUCUGUUUGUUGAGUUUGCAGGUGUGGUAGACUUGUUGAAAAUGAUUCUGUUUGCUUUAUAUCACUGGUUCAAAUCAUGUACAAUGACUUGUGCCACUUACAAUAACUUUAUAGAUUUGAAAUAUUUGAAUGACGGCCUGAACAAGUGAAUGCUGCACUAUAAAUGUUGUUAUUGUUAUUUUUCUAUAGUAUUGGUAUGCUUUAUAUUACUAUCCAUUUUAAUAAAUAUGUUUGAAAUUUACAAUAA
This is a long non-coding RNA of Aplysia californica (California sea hare), 611 nucleotides long. RefSeq lists it as uncharacterized. The record is from RefSeq and is a predicted model, not a curated record. NCBI's taxonomy places the organism in Eukaryota, Metazoa, Mollusca, Gastropoda, Aplysiida, Aplysiidae. The transcript is spliced from 2 exons.